This 540-nucleotide ribosomal RNA is filed under the name uncultured Glomeromycotina. RNAcentral's name for it is "SSU rRNA". It matches the Rfam family "Eukaryotic small subunit ribosomal RNA", at positions 569 to 1113 of the family's 1831-position model. Lineage: Eukaryota; Fungi; Glomeromycota. The record is from RNAcentral.
AGCAGCCGCGGUAAUUCCAGCUCCAAUAGCGUAUAUUAAAGUUGUUGCAGUUAAAAAGCUCGUAGUUGAGUUUCGGGACCAUCAUGUCGGUCGUGCCUCGGUACGUACUGGUAUUGUUGGUUUCUCCCUUCUGACGAACCAUGAUGUCAUUUAUUUGGUGUUGUGGGAAAUCAGGACUGUUACUUUGAAAAAAUUAGAGUGUUUAAAGCAGGCUCACGCUUGAAUACAUUAGCAUGGAAUAAUGAAAUAGGACGUUUGAUUCUAUUUUGUUGGUUUCUAGGAUCGACGUAAUGAUUAAUAGGGACAGUCGGGGGCAUCAGUAUUCAAUUGUCAGAGGUGAAAUUCUUGGAUUUAUUGAAGACUAACUACUGCGAAAGCAUUUGCCAAGGAUGUUUUCAUUAAUCAGUGAACGAAAGUUAGGGGAUCGAAGACGAUCAGAUACCGUCGUAGUCUUAACCAUAAACCAUGCCGGCUAGGGAUCGGGCGAUGUUAUUGUAUUGACUCGCUCGGCACCUUUCGAGAAACCAAAGUGUUUGGGUU